CUACGUGCCAGCAGCCGCGGUAAUACGUAGGUCCCGAGCGUUAUCCGGAUUUAUUGGGCGUAAAGCGAGCGCAGGCGGUUAGAUAAGUCUGAAGUUAAAGGCUGUGGCUUAACCAUAGUACGCUUUGGAAACUGUUUAACUUGAGUGCAGAAGGGGAGAGUGGAAUUCCAUGUGUAGCGGUGAAAUGCGUAGAUAUAUGGAGGAACACCGGUGGCGAAAGCGGCUCUCUGGUCUGUAACUGACGCUGAGGCUCGAAAGCGUGGGGAGCAAACAGGAUUAGAUACCCUGGUAGUCCACGCCGUAAACGAUGAGUGCUAGGUGUUGGGUCCUUUCCGGGACUCAGUGCCGCAGCUAACGCAUUAAGCACUCCGCCUGGGGAGUACGACCGCAAGGUUGAAACUCAAAGGAAUUGACGGGGGCCCGCACAAGCGGUGGAGCAUGUGGUUUAAUUCGAUGCAACGCGAAGAACCUUACCUACUCUUGACAUCCAUGGAAUCUUGUAGAGAUACGGGAGUGC
Molecule: ribosomal RNA, 517 nt
Filed under: uncultured bacterium
Lineage: Bacteria
Description: bacterial SSU rRNA
Rfam family: Bacterial small subunit ribosomal RNA
Source: RNAcentral